This 1381-nucleotide ribosomal RNA is filed under the name uncultured prokaryote. RNAcentral's name for it is "partial 16S ribosomal RNA". It matches the Rfam family "Bacterial small subunit ribosomal RNA". The record is from RNAcentral.
AUGCAAGUCGAACGGGAACCUUUGGAUUCGUCUGAAGGGGAGAGUGGCGAACGGGUGAGUAACACGUGGGUGACCUGCCUCGAAGACGGGGAUAACCACUGGAAACGGUGGCUAAUACCCGAUGGUCUCGAUAAUUCGGUUUAUCGAGUAAAGGCUCCGGCGCUUUGAGAGGGACCUGCGGCCCAUCAGCUAGUUGGUAGGGUAAAGGCCUACCAAGGCGAAGACGGGUAGGGGACGUGAGAGCGUGACCCCCCACACUGGGACUGAGACACAGCCCAGACUCCUACGGGAGGCAGCAGUGAGGAAUAUUGCGCAAUGAGCGAAAGCUAGACGCAGCAACGCCGCGUGGGUGAAGAAGGCCUUCGGGUCGUAAAACCCUUUUCUGAGGGAAGAGCAAGGACGGUACCUCAGGAAUAAGUCUCGGCUAACUAUGUGCCAGCAGCCGCGGUAAGACAUAGGAGGCGAGCGUUAUCCGGAUUUAUUGGGCGUAAAGUGCGUUGAGGCGGUUUUGUAAGUUGGACGUGAAAGCUCCCGGCUUAACUGGGAGAGGUCGUUCAAUACUGCGAGACUAGAGGGCAGUAGAGGGGGGUGGAAUUCCCGGUGUAGUGGUGAAAUGUGUAGAUAUCAGGAGGAAUACCGACGGCGAAGGCAGCUUACUGGACGAUUACUGACCCUCAUGGACGAAAGCUGGGGGAGCGAACAGGAUUAGAUACCCUGGUAGUCCCAGCCGUAAACGUUGUACACUAGGUGUAGGUGGAUUGGUCCCAUCUGCGCCCCAGCUAACGCGUUAAGUGUACCGCCUGGGGAGUACGGCCGCAAGGCUAAAACUCAAAGGAAUUGACGGGGGCCCGCACAAGCGGUGGAGCAUGUGGCUUAAUUCGAGGCAACGCGAAGAACCUUACCUGGAUUUGACAUAUACAGGACCGCCAUGGAAACAUGGUUUCUCUUCGGAGUCUGUAUACAGAUGCUGCAUGGCUGUCGUCAGCUCGUGCCGUGAGGUGUUCGGUUAAGUCCGGCAACGAGCGCAACCCAUGCUGUUAGUUACCAGCGAGUAAUGUCGGGGACUCUAACAGGACUGCCCGUGCUAAGCGGGAGGAAGGCGUGGACGACGUCAAGUCCGUAUGGCUCUUACAUCCAGGGCUGCACACGUGCUACAAUGGCCGGCACAGAGGGAUGCCACCUCGCGAGAGGGAGCCAAUCCCGAAAACCGGCCCCAGUUCGGAUUGGAGUCUGCAACUCGACUCCAUGAAGUUGGAAUCGCUAGUAAAGGCGUAUCAGCAACGGCGCCUUGAAUACGUUCCCGGGCCUUGUACACACCGCCCGUCACAUCAUGGAAGCUGGCUGUACCCGAAGUCACUGACUGAACCCGCAAGGGACGGAG